Molecule: ribosomal RNA, 499 nt
Filed under: uncultured bacterium
Lineage: Bacteria
Description: bacterial SSU rRNA
Rfam family: Bacterial small subunit ribosomal RNA
Source: RNAcentral
AGAGUUUGAUCCUGGCUCAGGAUGAACGCUAGCGGGAGGCCUAACACAUGCAAGCCGAGCGGUAGAGAUUCUUCGGAAUCUUGAGAGCGGCGUACGGGUGCGGAACACGUGUGCAACCUACCUUUAUCUGGAGGAUAGCCUUUCGAAAGGAAGAUUAAUACUCCAUAAUAUAUUGAUUGGCAUCAAUUGAUAUUGAAAGCUCCGGCGGAUAGAGAUGGGCACGCGCAAGAUUAGUUAGUUGGUGAGGUAACGGCUCGCCAAGACGAUGAUCUUUAGGGGGCCUGAGAGGGUGAUCCCCCACACUGGUACUGAGACACGGACCAGACUCCUACGGGAGGCAGCAGUGAGGAAUAUUGGUCAAUGGGUGCAAGCCUGAACCAGCCAUCCCGCGUGAAGGACGACUGCCCUAUGGGUUGUAAACUUCUUUUGUAUAGGGAUAAACCUACCCUCGUGAGGGUAGUUGAAGGUACUAUACGAAUAAGCACCGGCUAACUCCGUG